UCUGCUUGUUCUUUUCUCUUUUCUCCUCCAUCAUCUCUCUCUGCGGUAGAAAUAAAAUUUAGAACUUAACUGAAAUUUUGCUAGGAUAAACUGAUGAGUUUGAUGCAUGGAUUUGCUGCUGAUUCUAGUAUUGAUUGGUCUUAAGAGCAGAGUAAGGGAAUUUGUUCGUCUGUUCUCAAUUUGAGUGUGGACAAUUCGAAUUCGAGUUGCUCAGAAGAAUUUGAAGGUCUGGUUUAAUUGCAGAAUCAAUACUAAGCGUGCUUGCUUGUAAUGCAGUGUGGACAAUUCGAAUUCGAGUUGCUCAGAAGAAUUUGAAGGUCUGGUUAUUUGAGUGGCGCAUCGGAGAGUCGGAGUUUGCUAAGCGGGUUGAAAUCCGGUUCGUUGGGAAUCCAGAUUCUCUGAUCCGCCACAUACCUACUCUGCUAAAAAUUCAGUCAAAUCGGAAUAUGAUGCAAUCUCUAAAACCUGAUUUUAAUAAAACGGUAUACGUUUAAGAAUUUCAACCGUUCGAUUAAACUAUAUUUUAAGUAUGUUUUGUAUAUUGUUCUUAUUGACCUAUUAUAUAAAUUUCAUAAAGAUCCAACCAUGAGAAACAUUCCAAAGUACGUGAUAUUUUCAGCUGUGUUCA
Molecule: long non-coding RNA, 628 nt
Organism: Papaver somniferum (opium poppy)
Lineage: Eukaryota; Viridiplantae; Streptophyta; Magnoliopsida; Ranunculales; Papaveraceae
Exons: 2
Source: RefSeq, a predicted model, not a curated record